GGUUGACCUCGGAUCAGGUAGGGAUACCCGCUGAACUUAAGCAUAUCAAUAAGCGGAGGAAAAGAAACCAACAGGGAUUGCCUCAGUAACGGCGAGUGAAGCGGCAACAGCUCAAAUUUGAAAUCUGGCCCCUUCUGGGGUCCGAGUUGUAAUUUGUAGAGGAUGCUUCGGGCAAGGCUGUGGUCUAAUUCGCUUGGAACAGCGGGUCAGAGAGGGUGAGAAUCCCGUCUAGGAUCGUACGCCGCGUCCAUGUGAAGCUCCUUCGACGAGUCGAGUUGUUUGGGAAUGCAGCUCUAAAUGGGUGGUAAAUUUCAUCUAAAGCUAAAUAUUGGCCAGAGACCGAUAGCGCACAAGUAGAGUGAUCGAAAGAUGAAAAGCACUUUGAAAAGAGAGUUAAACAGUAUGUGAAAUUGUUGAAAGGGAAGCGCUUGCAAUCAGACUUGUGGCUGACGGUUCCCCCGGCCCCCGUGGCCGGGCUACUCCGUCGUGUCCAGGCCAACAUCGGUCUGGGUGGCCGGUUAAAGACCCCGGGAAUGUAUCUACCUUCGGGUCGACUUAUAGCCCGGGGUGGAAUGCGGCCCACCCGGACCGAGGAACGCGCUUCGGCUCGGAUGUUGGCGUAAUGGUUGCAAGCGGCCCGUCUUGAAACACGGACCAAGGAGUCUAACAUCUAUGCGAGUGUUUGGGUGUCAAACCCCUACGCGGAAUGAAAGUGAACGGAGGUAAGAACCCGCAAGGGCGCAUUAUCGACCGAUCCUGAUGUCUUCGGAUGGAUUUGAGUAAGAGCAUAGCUGUUGGGACCCGAAAGAUGGUGAACUAUGCCUGAAUAGGGUGAAGCCAGAGGAAACUCUGGUGGAGGCUCGCAGCGGUUCUGACGUGCAAAUCGAUCGUCAAAUUUGGGCAUAGGGGCGAAAGUAAGUAACACUCUGUCCCCUGUAACGUGAAAUUUUAUGCUAAUCAUCUCUCUAGGACUAAUCGAACCAUGGUUAAAGAAUGCCUAUUAGCACCCUGAUGGGUUGCCGAUCAGGUGGUUCUCCAACAGUCCCUCGGGGCAACAUCGUCCCUCUGGCGGGGUCACACCCGCAGCAGCCCCCGGCUGUCCACAGACUAGGAGACGGUGGUCACCUUGGCCGAGGUGAUGAUGAUAUAGUCGGUCACGGUUCUCCCGGGAACCGUGGUUGAACGCUGGUAGCUGGUUCCUGUCGAAGUUUCCCUCAGGAUAGCAGUAACGUUUUCAGUUUUAUGAGGUAAAGCGAAUGAUUAGAGGCCUUGGGGUUGCAACAACCUUAACCUAUUCUCAAACUUUAAAUAUGUAAGAAGUCCUUGUUUCUUAAUUGAACGUGGACAUUUGAAUGUAUCGUUACUAGUGGGCCAUUUUUGGUAAGCAGAACUGGCGAUGCGGGAUGAACCGAACGUGAGGUUAAGGUGCCGGAAUGCACGCUCAUCAGACACCACAAAAGGUGUCAAUGCAUCCAGACAGCCGGACGGUGGCCAUGGAAGUCGGAAUCCGCUUAGGAGUGUGUAACAACUCACCGGCCGAAUGCAUUGGCCCUGAAAAUGGAUGGCGCUUAAGCGUGCUACCUAUACCUCGCCGUUGGGGUUGAAAUGAUGCCCCAACGAGUAGGCAGGCGUGGGGGUUUGUG
This 1643-nucleotide ribosomal RNA is filed under the name Verrucaria sp. A. Orange 17171. RNAcentral describes it as "eukaryotic LSU rRNA". It matches the Rfam family "Eukaryotic large subunit ribosomal RNA", at positions 1 to 1402 of the family's 3401-position model. The record is from RNAcentral. Lineage: Eukaryota; Fungi; Ascomycota; Eurotiomycetes; Verrucariales; Verrucariaceae.